CAGCAGCCACGGUAAUACGGAGGGGGCUAGCGUUGUUCGGAAUUACUGGGCGUAAAGCGCACGUAGGCGGCUUGGUAAGUUAGAGGUGAAAGCCUGGAGCUCAACUCCAGAAUUGCCCUUAAGACUGCCGAGCUAGCAGGUGAGAGAGGUAAGUGGAAUUCCGAGUGUAGAGGUGAAAUUCGUAGAUAUUCGCAGGAACACCAGUGGCGAAGGCGGCUAACUGGUCCAUAACUGACGCUGAGGUGCGAAAGCGUGGGGAGCAAACAGGAUUAGAUACCCCAGUAGUCCCUGUCUCUUAUAC
RNAcentral lists this ribosomal RNA (301 nucleotides) under uncultured bacterium. Its description in RNAcentral is "partial 16S ribosomal RNA". It matches the Rfam family "Bacterial small subunit ribosomal RNA", at positions 509 to 807 of the family's 1533-position model. The record is from RNAcentral.